GGUCAUUCUAGAUUAGCCAUGCAAGUCUAAGUACGAGCUCCCGUACAGUGAAACUGCGAAUGGCUCAUUAAAUCAGUUAUGGUUCAUUUGAUCGUACGUGUUACUUGGAUAACUGUGGAAAUGCUAGAGCUAAUACAUGCAUAAAGCGCCGACCUCGCGGGAGGCGUGCUUUUAUCAGACCAAAAACCGACCGGGCUUCGGCUCGUCGCUUUGGUGACUCUGGAUAACUUCGCGGAUCGCACGGUCGAGCACCGGCGACGGAUCAUUCAAGUGUCUGCCCUAUCAACUUUCGUCGGUAGGGUAUCGGCCUACCGAGGUUCUUACGGGUAACGGGAAAUCAGGGUUCGAUUCCGGAGAGGGAGCCUGAGAAACGGCUACCACAUCCAAGGAAGGCAGCAGGCGCGCAAAUUACCCAUUCCCGACGCGGGGAGGUAGUGACGAAAAAUAACAAUACAGGACUCUCAACGAGGCCCUGUAAUUGGAAUGAGUACACUUUAAAACCUUUAACGAGUAUCCAUUGUAGGGCAAGUCUGGUGCCAGCAGCCGCGGGAAUUCCAGCUCCAAAAGUGUAUAUUUAAGUUGCUGCGGUUAAAAAGCUCGUAGUUGGAUUUUGGGCGCAGGCGGCCGGUCCGUCGCAAGGCGUGCACUGGCCGUCCUGGCCUUACCUACAGUUCGGCGUCGGUGCUCUUGACUGAGUGUCGGCGGCAGUCGGGAUCCUUACUUUGAAAAAAUUAUAGUGUUCAAAGAAAGCGGGUCGGCUGAAUGAUGGUGUAUGGAAUAAUGGAAUAGGAUCUCGGUUCUAUAAUGCAGUCUUUGGGAGCGCUAGGUAAUGAGUACGAGUGCAGAGAGGGGCAUUCGUACUGUGCCGUGAGAGGUGAAAUUCCUGGCUCGCCGUCACGACUAACGACUGCGACAGCAUCGCCAAAGCAUGUUAUCAUUAAUCAGAGCGAAUGUCAUAUGUCCGAGACAAUCAUAAAGCCGACCUAGCUGCUGACUAUCACCGUAGCUAUCUAGAGAUCAGGGGAGCGGUCAGUGACGACCUGCCCUGCAGACUACGGGAAGCAACGGCAUGGAGUCAGGAGGGACGAUGGCUUGCAUGCUGCAGACCUGACGAUUGACCGAAGUCCACAUCAGACUGUGACUGCGCUAAUGAAUCACUUGGACGGACUGCGAUCGCCAGAUAGCACUCGAAGCCUCUGUAUCUGUGAAGUGGUAUCAG
This 1219-nucleotide ribosomal RNA is filed under the name Ecteinascidia turbinata. Its description in RNAcentral is "SSU rRNA". The stretch from base 1 to 1079 matches the Rfam family "Eukaryotic small subunit ribosomal RNA", at positions 33 to 1116 of the family's 1831-position model. Lineage: Eukaryota; Metazoa; Chordata; Ascidiacea; Phlebobranchia; Perophoridae. The record is from RNAcentral.